Molecule: ribosomal RNA, 267 nt
Filed under: uncultured bacterium
Lineage: Bacteria
Description: partial 16S ribosomal RNA
Rfam family: Bacterial small subunit ribosomal RNA
Source: RNAcentral
UUGCCGGCGACCGGCGUACGGGUGAGUAACACGUAUGCAACCUGCCCGUCUCAGGGGGAUAAUCGUCGGAAACGGCGUCUAAUACCCCGUAUGAAGCUGGACGGCAUCGUCUGGUUUUGAAAGAAUAUCGGAGACGGAUGGGCAUGCGGCGCAUUAGCUAGUUGGCGGGGUAACGGCCCACCAAGGCGACGAUGCGUAGGGGUUCUGAGAGGAAGGUCCCCCACACUGGUACUGAGACACGGACCAGACUCCUACGGAAGGCAGCAG